GGAUCAUUAUAGAGAUCCUGCCCUCACGGGUAGACCUCCAACCCUAUGUAUUUAUACCUCGUUGCUUCGGCAGGUCGUCUAGGCUCCGGCCUGGCCAUGGGCUCCGGCUCGUGCGUGCCUGCCAGAAGACAUUCAAACUCUUGAUAUAAUUGUCGUCUGAGUAAAAACAUAAUAAGUUAAAACUUUCAACAACGGAUCUCUUGGUUCUGGCAUCGAUGAAGAACGCAGCGAAAUGCGAUAAGUAAUGUGAAUUGCAGAAUUCAGUGAAUCAUCGAAUCUUUGAACGCACAUUGCGCCCUUUGGUAUUCCGAAGGGCAUGCCUGUUCGAGCGUCAUUGCAACCCUCAAGCUCUGCUUGGUAUUGGGCCCCGUCUACUGCUGACGGGCCCUAAAAUCAGUGGCGGUGCCAUUAGGCUCUACGCGUAGUAAUCUAUCUCGCUAUGGAGGCCUGCUGGACACCUGCCAAUAACCCCAAAUUUUUUAAGGUUGACCUC
Molecule: ribosomal RNA, 493 nt
Filed under: fungal sp. EXP0451F
Lineage: Eukaryota; Fungi
Description: eukaryotic LSU rRNA
Rfam family: 5.8S ribosomal RNA (bases 181-334)
Source: RNAcentral